UUUAUUUAAUUUUCAAGGUGUACAAGGAGGUGGUUUUAAAGUCACCCAGCUGCUCAGUUUCCCUCACAGGAAGUCUACACUAAAUCUUCAUGAUUUCUAGGUCCAGACUUAUAGUAUCUCCCUGUUUGUGUAUGGAGUAGGAGGAGCUCACAGGAAUCUUCUUAAGCCUGUGCAGAGAGAGAGAGCUGAUGGUGACUGCUUGGGCAGAACAUUUUCUCUGACUCUCACCAUAGUGCAGACAACAGAGAGAGUAAUUACCACUCCUGAAAGCCUAAGAAUUCAAGGAUAAUGAGGGCAGUUCUCUAUACUGUAGAAAGGAACAUGUAUGGAAAAGUGGACAAGAUUAUUACAGAUUUUUAAUACUACCUUUAAGAGCUUUAUAUUUUUUUUCAUCUCAGAUAUCUGCUGAUUUUAGUGAAUGCACCAUAUGGCAUAAGAAUCUGAUAGUGGAGCAGGGUAUGAAUGUGCAGGGGACAUAGGGAAGCUCUUCACUGUCUGUUCAGUAACAUGUGAACCUACAUUUUUCUACUCAAUAAAUUUAGCUAAAUAUAUGUAUUCAAAUGAAUACAGAAAUUCUAGUAUUUGACUUUUAAAAUCCUACACAUACUUAUUUUCAUGGAUGGCUCCUGUUGUAAUAUCAUUCACUAAUCUUACUUCUUUGAAAUAUUUUUUCUUAGGUAUUAAUUAGCCCAUAUUUGUAUCAUCUGAAGAAGUGAAUAUUUUGUUUCUACACUAUUUCUCUUUAAUUAUGUGUUACUUUUUGGUAUUCCAAGACUUUGGACAUGGCCUGGAAAUGUGGCAAAAUUGCUGACAGGGGCCACUAAAGCAUAUUCCUAACAUACAGCCAUAUGAGUUAUGGGGUAGCUGUCCUGAUGUGCAGCCAGCCCUGCCUCACUGCAGGUGGCUCACCAUGGGACAGGUGCCUGCAGAGCUAGAGUUCCCUCAAUGCACCUGCAGGUAUUAAAAUAUCUAAAUGUUCCUUCAUAAUUGACCUUGUACAUAGAAUAAAUAUUUACAAAUAAAUUAAAAAUUUAAAAUGAAAAGUUUAGAAAUACUACUAGUUUGGAGAUAAUAAGAAUAUAUAGAAAUGGAAGUAAAUAUGAGCUGGAUUAAUAGAAGAACCUGCUCAUUAUUAUUACAGAAGCUUGAUGAUACAUGCUAUUCUCUUUGUAAACACUCAGCCAGUAUCAAGAGCCCUCUGUGCACCUGAUCAGAGUAUGAAUCUGGACAGAGACUUAACAUGUGUGUGCACGAGUUCUCCUGGUCAUCUCAGCCCGUGCAUUAUGUCAUGAAGAUUCAGGAAUCACCAUGUGCUGCCUUCACAACAGGGAUUUGUAACUUCAGCACUUAACUGGUCAUAUGAACCUCAUUAAAACCUGCUAGUGAAAAUAAAAUCUUAUGUAAGUUCUCAGGGUGGGAACUCUGGAGUGUGG
Molecule: long non-coding RNA, 1433 nt
Filed under: Marmota monax (woodchuck)
Lineage: Eukaryota; Metazoa; Chordata; Mammalia; Rodentia; Sciuridae
Source: RNAcentral